RNAcentral lists this ribosomal RNA (491 nucleotides) under uncultured bacterium. Its description in RNAcentral is "partial 16S ribosomal RNA". It matches the Rfam family "Bacterial small subunit ribosomal RNA", at positions 28 to 507 of the family's 1533-position model. The record is from RNAcentral.
AUUGAACGCUGGCGGCAUGCUUUACACAUGCCAGUCGAACGGUAACAGGCCUUCGGGUGCUGACGAGUGGCGAACGGGUGAGUAAUGCAUCGGAACGUGCCCAGAGGUGGGGGAUAACGCAGCGAAAGCUGUGCUAAUACCGCAUGUGAUCUGAGGAUGAAAGCGGGGGACCAGGCAGCAAUGUUUGGCCUCGCGCCUUUGGAGCGGCCGAUGUCAGAUUAGGUAGUUGGUGGGGUAAAGGCCUACCAAGCCGACGAUCUGUAGCUGGUCUGAGAGGACGACACGCCCACUGGGGACUGAGCCCCGGCCCAGAUCCCUAGGGGAGGCAGCGGGGGGGAUUUUUGGACAUGGGCGCAAGCCUGAUCCAGCAAUGCCGCGUGCGGGAAGAAGGCCUUCGGGUUGUAAACCGCUUUUGUACGGAACGAAAAGGCUCUGGCUAAUACCUGGGGCUGAUGACGGUACCGUAAGAAUAAGCACCGGCUAACUACGUG